UACAGAGGUCUCAAGCGUUGUUCGGAUUCAUUGGGCGUAAAGGGUGCGUAGGUGGCGCUGUAAGUCAGGUGUGAAAUUUCGGAGCUUAACUCUGAAACUGCAUUUGAUACUGCGGUGCUCGAGGACUGGAGAGGAGACUGGAAUUUACGGUGUAGCAGUGAAAUGCGUAGAGAUCGUAAGGAAGACCAGUGGCGAAGGCGGGUCUCUGGACAGUUCCUGACACUGAGGCACGAAGGCCAGGGGAGCAAACGGG
Molecule: ribosomal RNA, 253 nt
Filed under: uncultured bacterium
Lineage: Bacteria
Description: partial 16S ribosomal RNA
Rfam family: Bacterial small subunit ribosomal RNA
Source: RNAcentral